GACGAACGCUGGCGGCGUGCUUAACACAUGCAAGUCGAACGGAAAGGCCCUGCUUUUGUGGGGUGCUCGAGUGGCGAACGGGUGAGUAACACGUGAGUAACCUGCCCUUGACUUUGGGAUAACUUCAGGAAACUGGGGCUAAUACCGGAUAGGAGCUCCUGCUGCAUGGUGGGGGUUGGAAAGUUUCGGCGGUUGGGGAUGGUCUCGCGGCUUAUCAGCUUGUUGGUGGGGUAGUGGCUUACCAAGGCUUUGACGGGUAGCCGGCCUGAGAGGGUGACCGGCCACAUUGGUACUGAGGUACGGCCCAGACUCCUACGGGAGGCAGCAGUGGGGAAUAUUGCACAAUGGGCGGAAGCCUGAUGCAGCGACGCCGCGUGCGGGAUGACGUCCUUCGGGUUGUAAACCGCUUUCGCCUGUGACGAAGCGUGAGUGACGGUAAUGGGUAAAGAAGCACCGGCUAACUACGUG
RNAcentral lists this ribosomal RNA (468 nucleotides) under uncultured bacterium. RNAcentral describes it as "partial 16S ribosomal RNA". It matches the Rfam family "Bacterial small subunit ribosomal RNA", at positions 28 to 507 of the family's 1533-position model. The record is from RNAcentral.